CGGUCAGCCGCGGACCUCCCUCCACUCCGCGCGCACGCGCGCUCUUCACCAACGAGCCCUCGGCGUCGAGGCGGCCAAACAACAGCGCCCCCUACCGGUCCUAGACCGCCAACCCGCUAACAGCUUCUAGCGCCAGAUAUCACCUAGAAAAGAGAGGGAUCCAGCCUCAGCUCCAUUAAUGUGCCAAGUGGAGUUUGAAAUGGCCUGUGCUGCUAUCAAGCAGUUGAAGGGACCUGUGAGUGAUCGGGAGAAACUGAUAGUGUACAGCUUCUACAAACAGGCCACCCAGGGCGACUGCAAUAUCCCUGCCCCACCUGCCACAGAUGUGAAAGCCAAGGCCAAGUGGGAGGCGUGGAAUGAGAACAAAGGGAUGUCCAAGAUGGACGCCAUGAAGAUCUAUGUUGCUAAAGUGGAAGAACUGAAGAAAAAUGAUACUGGUUAAGGCGGACAAAGGGUCAAACAGAAUGAAGUAGCAUGGCUCUUCUGAUAGGGAAAUGGGCUUAAAAGACCUUGUUGGCUGAAAUGUCCUGAAACUCAACCAUAGCUGAGACAUCAAUAAAUCACUUAAACUGCA
This is a long non-coding RNA of Pteropus alecto (black flying fox), 574 nucleotides long. RefSeq lists it as uncharacterized. The record is from RefSeq and is a predicted model, not a curated record. NCBI's taxonomy places the organism in Eukaryota, Metazoa, Chordata, Mammalia, Chiroptera, Pteropodidae. The transcript is spliced from 2 exons.